CUACGGGGUGCUGCAGUGGGGAAUCUUAGACAAUGGGGGCAACCCUGAUCUAGCCAUGCCGCGUGAGUGAUGAAGGCCUUAGGGUCGUAAAGCUCUUUCGCCUGUGAUGAUAAUGACAGUAGCAGGUAAAGAAACCCCGGCUAACUCCGUGCCAGCAGCCGCGGUAAUACGGAGGGGGUUAGCGUUGUUCGGAAUUACUGGGCGUAAAGCGCGCGUAGGCGGAUUAGAAAGUUGGGGGUGAAAGCCCGGGGCUCAACCUCGGAACUGCCUCCAAAACUGCUAGUCUAGAGUUCGAGAGAGGUGAGUGGAAUUCCGAGUGUAGAGGUGAAAUUCGUAGAUAUUCGGAGGAACACCAGUGGCGAAGGCGGCUCACUGGCUCGAUACUGACGCUGAGGUGCGAAAGUGUGGGGAGCAAACAGGAUUAGAUACCCUGGUAGUC
RNAcentral lists this ribosomal RNA (439 nucleotides) under uncultured bacterium. Its description in RNAcentral is "partial 16S ribosomal RNA". It matches the Rfam family "Bacterial small subunit ribosomal RNA", at positions 339 to 795 of the family's 1533-position model. The record is from RNAcentral.